Panicum virgatum (switchgrass) is the source of this 1063-nucleotide long non-coding RNA. RefSeq lists it as uncharacterized. NCBI's taxonomy places the organism in Eukaryota, Viridiplantae, Streptophyta, Magnoliopsida, Poales, Poaceae. The record is from RefSeq and is a predicted model, not a curated record. The transcript is spliced from 4 exons.
GAUGCCAUUAGCCCAAUUUUGGACAAAAAAGUAAAAUGCAAAUUCUCAUCAAUGUAUGCUAUUUCCUGACCUUCAAAGGUUUGUUUAUCUACUAAACUUUUAUUUGCAGGAUUCUCAAUAAAAUUCCAGCAAACCAAUCUGUUGAGAGAGUUGAGGUGCUGCAGUCUAGGACUUAUCCGUUAUUUGUUCCAUGGAAAGGUGGAGUGAUUUUGGGCGUCCUGGAUACUGGUAGGGAUGCUUGGAUUCAUAGAGAAGAUUGGAUUAAAAAUGGUGUUCACAUAGGGAGUGGCAGAAAAUAUAAGGAUUCCUACUUUCUUCAGGCGCAAGUAAUGUGCUACUACAACAUAUAGCAGGUUGUUUGACAGCGAACCAUCUUAGGAUAUGAUCUGUGGACAGCAAUUAACUUGGAUACAUGAUGCAUCAUCUGUUUCAUGCAUUGUGUGCUGUCUUGUUGGGUUCUAGGGUCAUCAACAACCAAGGGGCCUGGAUGAAAUCUUGUAAGUUAGAAGUAGAACGGUCUGGUUGUAAAGACGUACUCAUGUUUGAUUGUUGCAACUUAUAACAUUUAUGAGAUCUCUGCUAACUCCGGUAUGAGCUUCGGGUUCAUAAUGGAAACGAACAGUGUGGCAGUUUUGGCCUUGCUUCAUAUGCUGCAUCAGUGUGGAACAUGGGAACAAUUGGUCAGAAUGAGAAGACUUCGCUGAGCCCAUGGGCACGAGGAAGGAAUCCAGUCCUACCAUCCCUACUUCCCUAGACCCCGACCCUGGAGUAUCUCUGGCAGACUGACUUCUAGCAAACUGACCUGCUUGCCGUCGCCAUUUUAAGCUGCAACCGAGAAAACCAUGCUUCUGCAGUGUAAAAACAGGUUAGUAGGAUGUGAAAAAGUGUGAUACGGCUAGUUUGGUAAACCUUGUGGAGUAGGUAGGCAAAUAAAAGGUAUAUAGAGUGAUAUUUGGCUAGUUUGCUGGACGUUUUCUAAUAAGUUGGCAAAUGUUUGAGAGGGGUGUAGAAGUUCAAGCAAAGAAGUUUAUAAUAGAAAUUCAAGAAUGUAAUGGAUCUAGUA